GUCUAAACCUAACGCGGGUCUCCACCAGACUCCACGAGGCCACGACGCCUUCCCUCUUUGCCGCCGCCGCCGCCUCCUCCUCCUCCUCUCUUCCCUCGUUCUCCAGCCGCCGCCACUACCCUCGAUCCUUCCUCCUCGGCUCUACCCACCCCAUCCUCUGUCCUCUCUCCACUCCUCCUCCUCUCACAGGCCCUGCCGCCGCACAUCACUGCUUCCCGUUGACGGUGAAGGCCCUGCAGAUCCAGCCAGGAGGAGGCAGGUGACUCGAGCAGGGCUGGUCGCCACCGAUGCGCCCACUCCGUCGUCACGGGUUGUCGCCAUGCUCCCCUCCUCUACACGUCAUCGCCUGAAGGUCACUGUUGCCGCCGCCGAUUUACUCCCCAUUCCUCUCCACCAUCGGUGUCCAUUGUGUCCGUCUCCAGGGAUCCAACUAUGGCCGUCGCUUUGUUUCCUUCCUUUUCUGAUCAUCUCGUCCACAACGCAGCGGUGGCCGCGGUGCGGACAAUCGGCGGAAAUAGGUAGGAAAGGCCCGACAGUGGUGCCACGCGGGAUGAAGCAACGGCGGCACAGGAGCUUCCCGGCGCAGGCUUUGCACUACAGAGCAGUUGGUGGUAGGAAGGACAUAGUUCGCCAAGAACUUAUGGUUAGGUGUACGGCGAGAGGAGGAGGAGGAAGCACUUCUUUGACAAGAUCCAUAGCUCUCCACCUCUGUAUUUCCAAUGUAUAUAUCUCAGAUCGGCGUGUCAUGGGAGCGGAUACGGCGGCAGACACAAGUAGAGCAAAGCGAAGCCAGCGCGAUGGCCAGGCCCUCCAAGCACACAGCCACUGCCUCCUCGCCAAGAUACGCUAGCCUGCAUCUACAAGGAAAAAAAGGAACUUGCCCGUAUGGUGUUCACUAAAAAGAAGAAUCUGGUAAAAGAUUGGAUGUGGGCUGUACGUGGACAUGAACUUGUUCCUGGGAUUCAGAAGGGAGGACUUGCCAUGGAACUUCGAGAAGACGGAGAACCAUGUGCACCUCCAUGUCGUGCUUUGGCAGAAGCCGGAUGCCGACGAGUCAGAACGCCUGCUGAAGAAGCCACUCUGCUCACCAUUGGCGCUUUCCAUGGGAAGUCAUAGCAAUGGAAACGGAGUUGUAGCUCUUCUGAAAAUUGCAAGGAUCUUUUCACACAUCUAUUCAAGCCCUAAGACCAGAAGCAAGUUUAAUCUUCUCUUUGGAUUAACAUCUGGCUGACCCUACAAUUAAAAUGGAACUAGCAAGGUUAUCAAUUUUUGUUACAGUGGCUUGAAGUUUUGACCAACAUGUGUGUGAUAUUAUUGACUAUGCAAUUUACUUGAAUAUCAUUGGUUCCUGGAGCAAUGAUCUCUGGAUGCAUGUAUCAAAGCCUCCAGAGAAGCCUUACAUCAAGCAAAUCUUUGAGGAUUUUUCGGAUGUCUCCAAGGAAAUGGGCAUUUCAGUCGCACAAGAAGAUUAAUGUGUCAAAUUCUAGAACUGCAUGCUGAACAAGCUUCAGAUUGAGGAGAGCUUGGUCCCCAAGAUGUGCCUAAAUUUGUACAGGGAAUAAGGAACUACAAUGGCCGGUCUGAAGCUUAUGGGCUAUGAUUUCGACUACGAGGAAUUCCACGCCAGCAUGCACGGUAAAUUGCCAUAUGAGAAGUUGAAGCCGGACCCUGUCCUGAGGAACCUACUGCUUUCGAUGCCUCAAAAUCCCUCUGAUGUUUCUUGCUACAUCACAUCAGCAAGGGGUCUGUGACAGUUAAAUGCUUCAGCAGUUACAGCUUGUCGUUGCACCGUAGAUAUUCACCAACUCUGAUGAGGGUCACGCAGCCGCCCUCCUCUUGGUUAACUCUGACAUUCAUUGUGCCAUUUAUAUCAAAAUAUUGCAUGAGUUUUUGUUGGUUGUUCAGGGACUAAGCUUAUCUCGGUUACUGUGAAUUUUAAUUGUACUCUGGGUCAAGUGAUUUUUUGAUAUGGUAACUAAUUUCUUGUUCUUUUUGCCAAAUUCUAAUUUAAAAACAAAACAGUAAGAAAUCAUGCAUGAUGUUUCAAGUAAAGUAAACAAAUAAAUGCAGCCUCGACUGCUGAUCUACUCCCUCCGUUCCAAAUUACUCAUCGCAAAAAUGGAUGUAUCUAGAACUAAAAUACAUCUAGAUACAUCCAUUUCUGUGAUGAGUAAUUCGGAAUGGAGGGAGUAUGAAAUAGAUGCCACCAGGAAGGUGAUGCCUUCAAUUCAUCAUGUUCUUUGCCUGCCUAAUUUUCCUCUCAUCCUCUUUUGUUGUAUUCACAGUGUUUGUUUUUUUCUGGACAAAGGUUGUGCAUCUUUGCAGGAGGAUUAUCAGGCCUGAGUGACAUUUUUGAAAAAAAAAUCGUUCAAAGCUUGGUGUUCAUUGCUGUUAUUGUUCCUAAUUUGAAGGGGACUGAGAUAUCUACCUAGGAAAUUCAAGUUGUGUUAUCUUCAAAUGAUCGGACAUCUGAAAUAAAUUAGAUAUUAGUAGGCAAUACUGAUGAAGCCCAGUCGUAUGAGCCGAGGGCUCAGACCGUCUCGCCGCACUGGAUCUGAUCUUACAUGCCAAGCACUUGAGCAGAGGCUGAUCAUUUAGUGUUGUGACAGUAAUAAGAGUUGUCCGGAUUUCUUCUUUCCUGUACUAUAAAUACAAGAGACAUAUGUGCUACACUACUUUUGGACAAACUGUAAUGGGUGGUCCUCGUUACAUGUACAACCAGUAUAAUGGAUCUGAGCUCAUAAUUUCUCGGCU
Triticum aestivum (bread wheat) is the source of this 2754-nucleotide RNA transcript. RefSeq lists it as uncharacterized. NCBI's taxonomy places the organism in Eukaryota, Viridiplantae, Streptophyta, Magnoliopsida, Poales, Poaceae. The record is from RefSeq and is a predicted model, not a curated record. The transcript is spliced from 10 exons.